AUUCCCUGCAUAAUACGAUAGGCCUCGAGUCUGCUUCUCGUUCUGAGCACGCCGUAAUAAUAAUAAGGAUAGUCGGGGUCUCUAUUAUCAUCGUCAGAGGAGAACAUCUUCGCAUGAUAGAGACUCACUCUCGGAAACAAUAUACAAAGGAGAUUUCUCUCAAUCUAGUGAACCAAAGUUGUGGGAUGGACGAGGGACUGACCCCGUGGUGAUUCAAACUAUAAAGCAUGCCCCCUAGGGGUCGGGCGCCCUUUAGUAUUUUUACCAUUCGGCACCCUUCGAGAAAAUCAAAGUUUUUGGGUCCAGGGGGGAGUAUGGUUCCAAGGCUGAAACUUAAAGACAAUUGACGGAAGGGCCCCACCAGGGGUGGGCACUGCGGCUUAAUUUGACUCAACCCGGGGAAACUCACCAGGUCCAGACACAAUUAGGAUUGACAGAUUGAGAGCUCUUUUUUGAUUUUGUGUGUGCUGGAGCAAGUCCGUUCUUAGUUGGUGGAGUGAUUUUUCUGCUUAAUUGCGAUAACGAACGAGGCCUUAACCUGCUAAAUAUCCAGGCGCGCUUUUGCGGGUCGCCAGCUUCUUAGAGCGUCUAUCGGCUCAAGCCGAUGGAAGUGUGAGGCAAUAACAGGUCUGUGAUGCCCUUAGAUGUUCUGGAACGCACACGCGCUACACUGACAGAGCCAACGAGUUCAUUUCCUUAGCCGAAAGGUUUGAGUAAUCUUGUUAAACUCUGUCGUGCUGGGGAUAGAGCAUUGCAAUUAUUGCUCUUCGACGAGGAAUGCCUAGUAAGCGCAUGUCAUCAGCAUGCGUUGAUUACGUCCCUGGACUUUGCACACCCCCCGUC
RNAcentral lists this ribosomal RNA (843 nucleotides) under uncultured fungus. RNAcentral describes it as "bacterial SSU rRNA". It matches the Rfam family "Eukaryotic small subunit ribosomal RNA", at positions 805 to 1677 of the family's 1831-position model. The record is from RNAcentral. Lineage: Eukaryota; Fungi.